GCAAGUAUUUUCCUUGCUUAGAUGACAUCAGAAAACAAAAGGAUUAAUUAGUCACCUGCUGUUCAGGAAUGAAUGCGUUAAUAAGGAAUAUGAAGUGCUGAUAAUGCUUACAGAAAUAUGGCAUAGCAGAGAAAUCAGAAAUGAAGUCCAAAGAAUGUUAAUUUCCAGUCAUGAACCGCAGGAGCAAGAGACAAACCACGCCAACAACAAGUGAAACCAAAAGAACUGAGGAUAAAGCACAGUAUAGUUAAUUUCUAAUCAUAUUGCUAUUUAAACCUUUUAAUUGGAGAUUUGCCAUGGCUAUUUUCUUUUUGACAUUUGAUAAAAAACAUGGUUUGUGGCAUACACCUAUUGUUAAUCGUGCAGGCAGACUAUGAGUCCGGCAUUUUGAAUGCCAUUGAGGAGAUAUUGUGAAAUGUACGGCUACUUCUUGAGGAAUAAACCUGUCAAUCCUUUA
Protopterus annectens (West African lungfish) is the source of this 457-nucleotide long non-coding RNA. RefSeq lists it as uncharacterized. The record is from RefSeq and is a predicted model, not a curated record. The transcript is spliced from 2 exons. Lineage: Eukaryota; Metazoa; Chordata; Ceratodontiformes; Protopteridae.